RNAcentral lists this ribosomal RNA (500 nucleotides) under uncultured Clostridium sp. RNAcentral describes it as "bacterial SSU rRNA". It matches the Rfam family "Bacterial small subunit ribosomal RNA", at positions 9 to 526 of the family's 1533-position model. Lineage: Bacteria; Bacillati; Bacillota; Clostridia; Eubacteriales; Clostridiaceae. The record is from RNAcentral.
GAGUUUGAUCCUGGUUCAGGAUGAAUGCUGGCGGCGUGCUUAACACAUGCAAGUCGAGCGAGAGAGWCUCUUCGGAGACAAUCUAGCGGCGGACGGGUGAGUAACACGUGGGUAACCUGCCUUGUAGUGGGGGAUAGCCCUCCGAAAGGAGGAUUAAUACCGCAUAUUGUCACAUUGAGGCAUCUCAAAGUGAUGAAAGGAGUAAUCCGCUACAAGAUGGGCCCGCGGCGCAUUAGCUAGUUGGUGAGGUAACGGCUCACCAAGGCGACGAUGCGUAGCCGACCUGAGAGGGUGAUCGGCCACAUUGGGACUGAGACACGGCCCAGACUCCUACGGGAGGCAGCAGUGGGGAAUAUUGCACAAUGGGGGAAACCCUGAUGCAGCAACGCCGCGUGAGUGAUGAAGGUCUUCGGAUUGUAAAGCUCUGUCUUCGGGGACGAUAAUGACGGUACCCGAGGAGGAAGCCACGGCUAACUACGUGCCAGCAGCCGCGGUAAUAC